AGAAACACAGUUAUCCCACUUUUCUCCCCAAUUUAGCUUUAGCUGUUCGAAUUGCUGCUGAUGCAGCUUUGCAGAGUAGCCAGUACCAUCUACCCACCCGGAGAGAACAAGGCCAAUUGUGCUUUCUCAGGGCUCUGGUGGCUGAUGGCAAGCUGCAGGACCAGGAUUUAAAACAGGGAUCUCCUGAUCACAGUACCAGCACUUGGAGACCACAUCUCCCUCAUCUACUAUCUUGCCACAGACACUGUGAGUGAAGGAGGUCAGAGGUCAGGAGUCGAUCGGAGGGGCGGCGGCCAGUCGAUGGUCAUUCGAUGUGAGAGCCGUGGGUUCUGUCGGAUCCCGCAUGACCCGCGUCCCGUUCCGCUUCCCUGCGGAUUUAACAGAUUUACCGUCCCGCAGGCUGCCCUGACCAGGUCAACCACAGUGGAUCGAUGCUACACCACAGCGGAUUUAUGUAAACUUUUCUCUCAAGUUGCAUCACAGCGCACUCAGAGGAAAGCACAGAGACUCAGUUCCGAUACAUCAGCUCACAGACGCCUUGUGCUGAUCGACAUCACCCUUUGGAGUGAUGAGGGGAAAGAACGCCAUCUACCCAGCCAGAGAGAGCAAAGCCAAUCUCAGGGCUCCGGCAGCUGAUGGCAAGCUGCAUGAGCAGGGUUUGAACCAGAAGUUGUACCAUUUGCUAUUUGAACCAGUUGGUAUUUAGAUCCAAAUUAAUCAUAUAUCUUGUGGAGGGAAACCAAUACCAGAACAUUCUUACCCAAAAAUAUGCCUUGGUUAUUAAGCUCUGGUAAAGUUAAGAGCUUGUGAGGCUUGUGAGGCUCUUAAGUUAGCUCUUAGCUAAUAUCUUAUCUAAUAGAUUCACUUGAACCUGAAGCAGAUACUGAUUCACAGAAGUUUUGGAACCGGAUACUGACUGUUGUGAUUCUUUUUUAAAUGAAAAAUUGUAACCUUUAGGGUGUGUUAAAUGUUUG
Molecule: long non-coding RNA, 974 nt
Filed under: Astyanax mexicanus (Mexican tetra)
Lineage: Eukaryota; Metazoa; Chordata; Actinopteri; Characiformes; Acestrorhamphidae
Description: lncRNA (ENSAMXG00005019404.1)
Source: RNAcentral